This 1168-nucleotide ribosomal RNA is filed under the name Francisella endosymbiont of Hyalomma asiaticum. RNAcentral's name for it is "bacterial SSU rRNA". It matches the Rfam family "Bacterial small subunit ribosomal RNA", at positions 128 to 1294 of the family's 1533-position model. Lineage: Bacteria; Pseudomonadati; Pseudomonadota; Gammaproteobacteria; Thiotrichales; Francisellaceae. The record is from RNAcentral.
GCCCAUUUGAGGGGGAUACCAGUUGGAAACGACUGUUAAUACCGCAUAGUAUCUGUGGAUUAAAGGUGGCUUUUGGGCUGUCGCAGAUGGAUGAGCCUGCGUUGGAUUAGCUAGUUGGUGGGGUAAGGGCCUACCAAGGCUACGAUCCAUAGCUGAUUUGAGAGGAUGAUCAGCCACAUUGGGACUGAGACACGGCCCAAACUCCUACGGGAGGCAGCAGUGAGGAAUAUUGGACAAUGGGGGCAACCCUGAUCCAGCAAUGCCAUGUGUGUGAAGAAGGCCUUAGGGUUGUAAAGCACUUUAGUUGGGGAAGAAAGCUUUGAGGUUAAUAGCCUUGAGGAAGGACGUUACCCAAAGAAUAAGCACCGGCUAACUCCGUGCCAGCAGCCGCGGUAAUACGGGGGGUGCAAGCGUUAAUCGGAAUUACUGGGCGUAAAGAGUCUGUAGGUGGUUUGUUAAGUCAGAUGUGAAAGCCCAGGGCUCAACCUUGGAACUGCAUUUGAUACUGGCAAACUAGAGUACGGUAGAGGAAUGGGGAAUUUCUGGUGUAGCGGUGAAAUGCGUAGAGAUCAGAAGGAACACCAAUGGCGAAGGCAACAUUCUGGACCGAUACUGACACUGAGGGACGAAAGCGUGGGGAUCAAACAGGAUUAGAUACCCUGGUAGUCCACGCUGUAAACGAUGAGUACUAGCUGUUGGAGUCGGUGUAAAGGCUCUAGUGGCGCAGCUAACGCGAUAAGUACUCCGCCUGGGGACUACGGCCGCAAGGCUAAAACUCAAAGGAAUUGACGGGGACCCGCACAAGCGGUGGAGCAUGUGGUUUAAUUCGAUGCAACGCGAAGAACCUUACCUGGUCUUGACAUCCUGCGAACUUUCUAGAGAUAGAUUGGUGCCUUCGGGAACGCAGUGACAGGUGCUGCACGGCUGUCGUCAGCUCGUGUUGUGAAAUGUUGGGUUAAGUCCCGCAACGAGCGCAACCCCUAUUGAUAGUUACCAUCAUUAAGUUGGGUACUCUAUUGAGACUGCCGCUGACAAGGCGGAGGAAGGUGGGGACGACGUCAAGUCAUCAUGGCCCUUACGACCAGGGCUACACACGUGCUACAAUGGGUAUUACAGAGGGCUGCGAAGGUGCGAGCUGGAGCGAAACUCAAAAAGGUACUCUUAGUCC